ACACAUGCAAGUCGAGGGGCAGCAUCAUCAAAGCUUGCUUUGAUGGAUGGCGACCGGCGCACGGGUGAGUAACACGUAUCCAACCUGCCGACAACACUGGGAUAGCCUUUCGAAAGAAAGAUUAAUACCGGAUGGCAUAGUUUUCCCGCAUGGGAUAAUUAUUAAAGAAUUUCGGUUGUCGAUGGGGAUGCGUUCCAUUAGGCAGUUGGCGGGGUAACGGCCCACCAAACCUACGAUGGAUAGGGGUUCUGAGAGGAAGGUCCCCCACAUUGGAACUGAGACACGGUCCAAACUCCUACGGGAGGCAGCAGUGAGGAAUAUUGGUCAAUGGACGAGAGUCUGAACCAGCCAAGUAGCGUGAAGGAUGACUGCCCUAUGGGUUGUAAACUUCUUUUAUACGGGAAUAAAGUGAGCCACGUGUGGCUUUUUGUAUGUACCGUAUGAAUAAGGAUCGGCUAACUCCGUGCCAGCAGCCGCGGUAAUACGGAGGAUUCGAGCGUUAUCCGGAUUUAUUGGGUUUAAAGGGAGCGUAGGCGGGUUGUUAAGUCAGUUGUGAAAGUUUGCGGCUCAACCGUAAAAUUGCAGUUGAUACUGGCGACCUUGAGUGCAACAGAGGUAGGCGGAAUUCGUGGUGUAGCGGUGAAAUGCUUAGAUACCACGAAGAACUCCGAUUGCGAAGGCAGCUUACUGGAUUGUAACUGACGCUGAUGCUCGAAAGUGUGGGUAUCAAACAGGAUUAGAUACCCUGGUAGUCCACACAGUAAACGAUGAAUACUCGCUGUUGGCGAUAUACAGUCAGCGGCCAAGCGAAAGCAUUAAGUAUUCCACCUGGGGAGUACGCCGGCA
RNAcentral lists this ribosomal RNA (846 nucleotides) under uncultured bacterium. RNAcentral's name for it is "bacterial SSU rRNA". It matches the Rfam family "Bacterial small subunit ribosomal RNA", at positions 51 to 890 of the family's 1533-position model. The record is from RNAcentral.